GUGCUUGCUUUCAGCAGCACACAUACUAAAAUUGGAACAGUACAGAGAAGAUUAGCAUGGCCCAUGCGCAAGGAUGACACACAAAUUCAUGAAGUAUUCCAUAUUUUU
RNAcentral lists this small nuclear RNA (108 nucleotides) under Vombatus ursinus (common wombat). Lineage: Eukaryota; Metazoa; Chordata; Mammalia; Diprotodontia; Vombatidae. The record is from RNAcentral.